UACGUAGGUGGCAAGCGUUGUCCGGAAUUAUUGGGCGUAAAGCGCGCGCAGGCGGUCCUUUAAGUCUGAUGUGAAAGCCCCACGGCUCAACCGUGGAGGGUCAUUGGAAACUGGGGGACUUGAGUGCAGAAGAGGAAAGCGGAAUUCCACGUGUAGCGGUGAAAUGCGUAGAGAUGUGGAGGAACACCAGUGGCGAAGGCGGCUUUCUGGUCUGUAACUGACGCUGAGGCGCGAAAGCGUGGGGAGCAAACAGG
This 254-nucleotide ribosomal RNA is filed under the name uncultured bacterium. Its description in RNAcentral is "partial 16S ribosomal RNA". It matches the Rfam family "Bacterial small subunit ribosomal RNA", at positions 524 to 776 of the family's 1533-position model. The record is from RNAcentral.